UUACAUGGUUGGGGGUGCGUGACCCCAUACCUGUAAGACUACCCAUACGAGCCGAAGGCCCAAGGGCAUCGACAUCGUUCUUAGUAAUGUCGCAGGGCCAAACGGCGGAAGUUUCAACUUAUGGGGACAGCUUUUGACUUGGCGCAACGAGGAAAAACAGGCAAGGAAUCCUACGUGAUCCCAAAAGCAAGCUGUUGUGCAAGUCGCGAACUGGCGCAACGCCUUCCCAGCCUCCGAACUGGUCCGUUCGAUUAACGGACGCCAUCCCUAUGUCACCCACAGGACUAUCUUUUCCUCAGCAAAAACGCGGUCUUCCAGCCACGGAGGCCAACACGUGGCGGCGUGCCUAUCUCCUUCUCUCAGGUCAUUCACGCUGGAACCCCUGACCUGUCGUCACUGAAACAUGGAUUUGCACAGCACUGGCUCUCAUCCGUCGCGGAGAAGAGUGACAGUUCCGUCACCAGAUUUCACCGCGUUCCAUCACCGCGAUGCCGUUUCAAACCUUUUAUUAUCCCACGUUUGAAGUUCUAAAUGGAGCUGCACCAAUUUUCCAACGAGAAUCCAUGCCGCAGUAAUUACAACUCACAUGUAUUUGAAGGAGUGGUGGCAAGAAAGUACGGAGAAGUACUUCUACCCGUUUGACUUUCAAGAUGUCCAAUCACAUCGAGCUGCGUGAUGACCACCUGGAGCAGCACUUUUCGGUCACCCACUUUGGUAAGGCUGCUGGAGGGCCGUACGUCCUCACCCUUGCGCAACAAAAGCCAGGCCGGGCCAGAUCGUGUAGGAGGAACCGCCCGUCCCGCUUUCUGGGCCCCCAAUCCUAAUCCCGAACUUGAACCCGGACGCUAGGGGCUCCGACUCCAGCGUCCGACCCCAGCCCUUUCCCGGUAUCCGAGAGGUCGCACGUUCAAGUCUUAUCAGAUGCCGCUUUUUUCUUCCUCCUGAAUCUUCACUCCUUAUGCCCCUGCGGCAUGGCCCGCUUGCGCACUCCUCAGAGCAUAGAUCCAUUCGGUUCACGGCCGCACUUCACACCUACUUCGCCGUCAGCGACAUCAGCAACGUGAAGGUGGAGGGGCUGCGGGUGCGGUGGGGUCGUGCCAUGGGGGGGAGCCGUGGCGUUGGUGGUGUUGGUGGUGACAGCAGUGGCGAUGGUGCUGGGAUGUGAAGGUGCUCGAAGGUGUUGGACUGGUACAAGGCAGUCUGGUUUGCAUUCGGUUUGCAGGACAGUUCGACAGCUCGACUGCCACCUUGAUGGCUUGACGGCUGUCAGAACAGUUCUGUCCAGCCUCUGUUUCUUUGUCCAUGCUAAGCAGGCCAGAGUAAUAGCAAAUUGAGGCUUGGCUAGGUUGUGGGCGCAAAUCCAGGUGGAGCCAAAGGAAGUAUGCACGGAAAGAAACCCCUCCCCCCCGUCCGUGGUUUGAAUCGGCGGCUGCAAAUGCUUGCUGCCCAGGAUGUUCCAGUUACUGGGCAGUCCUAUCGACCUGCCAGCCUGGCGGCUUGGCUAUCCGUAGCAGCAGUUGUGCUAACAGUGCUACUCAACAACUUGGUCUUUCCCCUCCUAAAGUGUUGCUGCCGCCGCCGCUGCCUUACCCCCCCCUGUAAAGCAGUUGCUCAGGAAUUGUCAGACUACUCUCGCCGCCAUGCGGUUCUGUUCUGCAUCACAGGCCCAGCUGAGCCUUUUGGAGCCGCAGAAGCAGCUGAGCAUGCGUGAUGGGCAGAGCAGCUUCGCAGCAAUAUAAUCACGGCCAGUGGCCAGGGGGACGAGUGCAAUGCACCACGCCAUUCUGCACAGCCUGCCGCCACAGUAUGCCAUCACCAUUGAGUUCGUGAUGUAUCAUCCCAACUUGACGAUCCCACAGCCAUCCUUCCCAUCUGAUGGGUACUCCUCUGGCAAGACAGUCAGACGCUCCCUUAGUGCCGUUGUCAUCAUAUGGAUACAUCACUUCUCGUAACACUUCUGCGAUACAAUAGCCUGAACAGGAUUAUACGUGGCAUCAAUUGCCAUACAUCCAGACGGCUACCUUGGCUACAGUCCAGCGUGCAGCACACCUUCUUCACAAACGUACAGAGCGAUAACAUGCUCCUUUUGCUGGGCUCUUUGGAAGCUAUGUUGACAGUUGCAUUCCUCCGGCGAUGCCUUGAAUAUCCGUACACACCAACAGACACAAUAGGCUGGCCCAAGAUCUCGGUCCUGGAUUCAAGUCCCAGUCUUUUGCAUCCAGGGCACGCCCUCCUCAACGACGCGUCGUUGACUUGUUUUAGUGAGGGGCUGCUUAACUACUGCCGGAAAUCCGGGAAUUGUUCAAAAAAUAAGUUAUAUUAUGUUGAUUGGGGUCCUGCUAGCAGAGUUACUUCUAAGGAGCACGAGCAGAACAAAAGUAAUUGGAUAAAAAUAGAUAGAGAGUGAGUGAGUGAGUGAGUACUCAGUCACUAGUGGCUGAGUGAGUGGGUGAGGCCAUCUAAAGGCACCUGCAAAGUCAGCAGUGGCAAGGCCAGUAAUGGUGAUGAAAGCCACCUUCCACCAAAUACUCAUAUAACUGCUGGACGAGGCACUGUUGUGCUUCCACAAUCUAUGUGCCUUGCCAUGUAGUGGUAGUUGGUGGGGCAGCAGUGCCUAAGCAAACACAUUUGCAGGAGUCUUCCAACACUCUGGGAACCAGGAGCCUUCAUUCCUGAUUCGAUUCACAUUCAUUUCAUCCCUUCAUUUGACUCUUCAUUCCAGGGCCAAGGAUCAUUUUGAAAUGAAGACCCCAUCAUUACAGAAUGAAGGGAACUCAGAAUGAACGCUCCCUAUGGUUUGGAUGCCCUUCAUUCCAAAAUGAAGCAGUCUCCAUAAAACGAGCCCAUGUCCAUCACGUGAUAUGAAGGCCAUAAAAAGAACCGUGUACAUCACGUGGUCUGAAGGCCCCUUCAGUCCAAAAUGAAGCCGGUUCCAUAAUAUGAAACAUAUAUGUCACGUGAUAUGAGUGCCCCUUUCAGCCCAAAAUUGAGCCUUUUCAUAAUAUAAACCCCUGUCCAUCGCGUCAUGUGGACGCGCCUCCAAUCCUAACUAGGAAGGCGUGUUCUUAUCACGUGAUGGACAGUGUCUUGAUACGGAUUUGCUUAUAAACCAAGCCGUCUCAAGACCCUGUCCACCACGUGAUAUGAACGUGCCUUCAGCCCUGAGCAAAGCCGUCUCUACAAAAGAAGACCAUGCAGCUGCCCAUCACAUUACAUAUGCAUUCGUCCCAAAAUCAACGUGCAUCCAUUACCGCCGUCGUUUCUUGCCCCCCUUCCCCUUCGCCUUUAUUUCCAUGAAGGGGAGAUCCGCUUCAGUCAAGACAGCAUCAGGCAGAGAACGUCUGCGCUUUGAGGCGGCCUUUGCUGUCAUCAUGGCUGUUGCAGUCUCCACCACCCACAUCUGAGACCCAGGGCUGCAACAUCCACUCUGGCCUGAUGUCCUGCAGUGGUGGCGCCUGUAGUUGCAUCAGCGGGGACACCCAGACCUGCUGCAGCUGUGUUGGGAAUUCGAAUGCCUGCUUCACCAUGUCCAAGGGGUGCCUGAGUGCAGCAGCAGAAACAAACAUGGCAUGUUGAAGAUUGGGCUUGUUGCUCUGAUUCCAUUCAAUGGCCUGCAGGAAAGGAUAGGUAAACCUGCAGACCUACUCACAGUGAAAGAUGAGCCAAAGAGAUGUUCGUAGUGUGCUAGUCAGGAGGAGGAGGUAUUUUUUGGGGGUGGCUUUGGCGGGUUGUCUCCAAAUUUUAAACUCAAAGUUUGAAACGGUUUGAUUGAAGCUCCACACCUAGCCCCUCACCGUGUUACAGUGGGCUUUAGACUUACAAAGAGCCAGCGGGCCACCUUAAUACGAUGAGGGCAAACAAGACUCCCACCCAGACCAUACAUUGCAAGUCACCUAGACAGCCACAAGCAAACCCAAAUGGACGGCUCAGAACCCAGCUUGUGCGUAUGAACAGCUACAUUGCAUUGCUCUGACAGACGAAGCCACAUAGGCCGCAAGCUUGCUAUCGGCCAUAGCCGGCAGACACGGAAGUCACAAAUGUGCAAUGUUUACGCCCUACAUUUACAGAUGGGCGAGAUUUUGCGAUUUCCUUGCCACUUGCGACUUGCAACCUUGCAAGUUGCUAGCCGUACGCAAGAGUGCACUUCGCCUCGCACCCGCAAUUUGUUUUGCAACCAGCCAUAAUGCCCGCGCCAUAUAAAUGUAAUUCUUUCGGAGCAGAUACGAAUACGUACUAGCUUGACCUUACUGUACAAGAAUAAAACCGGCCACAGACCGCUUGGGAAGCGUUUUACCUGCCGAGAAACUGGCGUAAGCCAAGAGAAUCGGGAUUUCCAAACUCAACUAAGGCUUACAACGUAAAUAAUUUGCUUUGCUCAUGUAGUCAAGCUAGCGAUCAUCAACAUUACACGCCGUACACAUGAGUCAUAGCUCUGCUAGCUUCAAUGUUACGACAAGACCUAACACGAGUCCCUAUAAACUUACUUAUUUGCGUGCCGAAGUACUUGGGAUUGCUGUUUUGGCAGUGCAGCUGCGUGCGUGUAACGCUGCACAACAUGGAAGAGCUGAGAACAAUCACCUUGAAAACACCGGGGGUAUGAUUAUUUGAUGAAUACCUGAUAACUGUUGAUGCGGCUUUCGGUGCGGCUUUCGAUCUUAAUCGGUCUUAAUCUUGUCGCAGGGCCAAACGGCGGAAGUUUCAGCUUACGGGGCACAGCUUUUGACUUGGCGCAACGAGGAGAACCAAGUAAGGAAAUCGUUGAUCCUACCUGAUCCACACAAGCAAUCUGUUGCGCAAGUCGCGAACUGGCGCAACGCCUUCCCGGCCUGCGAACUGGUCCAUUCGAUUAGCGGACGCCAUCCCUAUGUCACCCACAGGACUACCUUUUCCUCAGCAAAAACGCGGUCUUCCAUCGACAUAAGCCAACACGUGGCGGCGUGCCUAUCUCCUUCUCUCAGGUCACCCACAUUGGACUCCCUGACCUGUCGUCACUGAAACAUGGAUUUGCACGGCACUGGCUCUCAUCCGUCGUGGAGAAGAGCGACUGCUCCGUCACUCUGGUGAGCCCAGGCAGAUUUCACCGCGUUCCAUCACCGCGAUGCCGUUUCAAACCUUUUGUUAUCCCAGUCAGCACGUCUCAAGUUCUAAAUGGAGCACAUCUGAAGUUCUAAAUGGAGCACCAUUUUUCCAACGAGAAUCCAUGCCGCAGUAACUACACCUCACACGUAUUUGUAGGAGUGGGAGCAAGAUAGUACGGAGCCGUUAAUCUACCCGUUGGACUUAAAGAUGUCCUGUCGCAUCGAGCUGCGUGAUGACCACCUGGAGCAGCACUUUUCGGUCACCCACUUUGGUAAGGCUGCCGGAGGGCCGUACGUCCUCACCCUUGCGCAACAAAAGCCAGGCCGGGCCAGAUCGUGUAGGAGGAACCGCCCUUCCCACUUUCUGGGCCCCCAAUCCUAAACUCGAACAUGCACCCGAAUUCGAACAUGCACCCGGACUCUAACUCCAGCGUCCGACCCCGGCCCUUUCCCGGUAUCCGAGAGGUCGCACGUUCAAGUCUUGUCAGGUGCCGCGUUUCUCUUCCUCCUGAGUCUUCACUCCUUAUGCCCCUAUGGAAUGGCCCGC
RNAcentral lists this long non-coding RNA (5625 nucleotides) under Volvox carteri. RNAcentral's name for it is "long non-coding RNA (VCAR_LNC001565)". Lineage: Eukaryota; Viridiplantae; Chlorophyta; Chlorophyceae; Chlamydomonadales; Volvocaceae. The record is from RNAcentral.